AGUGAACGCUGGCGGUAGGCCUAACACAUGCAAGUCGAACGGCAGCACAGUAAGAGCUUGCUCUUACGGGUGGCGAGUGGCGGACGGGUGAGGAAUACAUCGGAAUCUACUUUUUCGUGGGGGAUAACGUAGGGAAACUUACGCUAAUACCGCAUACGACCUACGGGUGAAAGCAGGGGAUCUUCGGACCUUGCGCGAUUGAAUGAGCCGAUGUCGGAUUAGCUAGUUGGCGGGGUAAAGGCCCACCAAGGCGACGAUCCGUAGCUGGUCUGAGAGGAUGAUCAGCCACACUGAAACUGAGACACGGUCCAAACUCCUACGGGAGGCAGCGGUGGGAAAUAUUGGACAAUGGGCGCAAGCCUGAUCCAGCCAUACCGCGUGGGUGAAGAAGGCCUUCGGGUUGUAAAGCCCUUUUGUUGGGAAAGAAAAGCAGCAGGUUAAUACCCCGCUGUUCUGACGGUACCAAAAGAAUAAGCACCGGCUAACUUCGU
Molecule: ribosomal RNA, 491 nt
Filed under: uncultured bacterium
Lineage: Bacteria
Description: partial 16S ribosomal RNA
Rfam family: Bacterial small subunit ribosomal RNA
Source: RNAcentral